Molecule: ribosomal RNA, 497 nt
Filed under: uncultured bacterium
Lineage: Bacteria
Description: partial 16S ribosomal RNA
Rfam family: Bacterial small subunit ribosomal RNA
Source: RNAcentral
GAUGAACGCUGGCGGCGUGCCUAAUACAUGCAAGUCGAGCGAACAGACGAGGAGCUUGCUCCUCUGACGUUAGCGGCGGACGGGUGAGUAACACGUGGAUAACCUACCUAUAAGACUGGGAUAACUUCGGGAAACCGGAGCUAAUACCGGAUAAUAUAUUGAACCGCAUGGUUCAAUAGUGAAAGACGGUUUUGCUGUCACUUAUAGAUGGAUCCGCGCCGCAUUAGCUAGUUGGUAAGGUAACGGCUUACCAAGGCAACGAUGCGUAGCCGACCUGAGGGGCGGAUCGGCCACCUUGGAACUGAGACAGGGUCCAGACUACUACGGGAGGCAGCAGAAGGGAAUCGUCCGCAAUGGGCGAAAGCCUGGCGGAGCAACGGCGCGUGAGUGAUGAAGGUCUUCGGAUCGUAAAACUCUGUUAUUAGGGAAGAACAAAUGUGUAAGUAACUAUGCACGGCUUGACGGUACCUAAUCAGAAAGCCACGGCUAACUACGUG